This 439-nucleotide ribosomal RNA is filed under the name uncultured bacterium. RNAcentral's name for it is "bacterial SSU rRNA". It matches the Rfam family "Bacterial small subunit ribosomal RNA", at positions 959 to 1397 of the family's 1533-position model. The record is from RNAcentral.
ACGCGCGGAACCUUACCAGGUCUUGACAUCCCAUUGACCGCUAUGGAGACAUAGCUUUCCCUUCGGGGACAGUGGUGACAGGUGGUGCAUGGUUGUCGUCAGCUCGUGUCGUGAGAUGUUGGGUUAAGUCCCGCAACGAGCGCAACCCUUGAUCUUAGUUGCCAGCAUUCAGCUGGGCACUCUAAGGUGACUGUCGGUGACAAACCGGAGGAAGGUGGGGAUGACGUCAAAUCAUCAUGCCCCUUAUGACCUGGGCUACACACGUGCUACAAUGGACGGUACAAACGGUUGCCAACCCGCGAGGGGGAGCUAAUCCGAUAAAACCGUUCUCAGUUCGGAUUGUAGGCUGCAACUCGCCUACAUGAAGCUGGAAUCGCUAGUAAUCGCGGAUCAGCAUGCCGCGGUGAAUACGUUCCCGGGCCUUGUACACACCGCCCGU